CAUCACAAGGCUUCAAACCGGCUUCCCAACGUGAGAAACGAAAUCAAAACCUCCCAAUUAGCAGCUGAACAACAAAAACUUAUUCUCAAAAAGGAAUAACAAGCAUAGUAGAAUGUCCUUGCCAGCAAGUGAGAACUGAUUCGUUCCCACCCUCCACCGUUCCCUUUGCACAAACAAUUCUCACAGCCACAACGUGGAUUGCUGUCUCAAUCAAGGAGACCCGCAGCUCCCACUUGGCCGGAGGAACACUCAAAAAGCUAAGCGGUGAUGAAACUGCGGAGGGGCGCCCGACUGGCUCAGCUGGUGGAGCAUGUGACUCUUGAUCUCCAGGUUGUGAGUUUGAGCCUCAUGUUGGGUGUAGAGAUCACUU
Molecule: long non-coding RNA, 370 nt
Organism: Mirounga angustirostris (Northern elephant seal)
Lineage: Eukaryota; Metazoa; Chordata; Mammalia; Carnivora; Phocidae
Exons: 3
Source: RefSeq, a predicted model, not a curated record